GAGACGCUGCGCGGCGGCAGCGGCGGGCGCGAGCGGCAGCUGUCAGGCCACCGAGGUCCAAGCCGCACUUGCUGCCCCAUUGAGGACGAGGAGGCAGCAGGAGCAGUGACGGUGACUCUAAGGAGCCGGAUUCCCGGCACGCAGAGCUGACCUGCCUGGCACCCGCGGCCCUCUCCUGUUUCCUUCCCAUUGUGUUGGCACCCUAAAAAGAAAGAAUAAAACAACAACAGGAAAAAAAGGAAAAUAUUUAAAUUGUGACAAAAACCCACUGGAUAAGCCAGCUGCAGAAUAUAUCCUGAGGUACCUGCUUUAUGGAAUUAUUCACACUAUUCACCAACAGGAAGAAUAAAGUCAAUCAAUUCAAGGAGUCUCAGAACAGGAGCACAUAGACACCAAACUUUGUGGGACAACAAAUAUAAUGAAGAGUAUGUUUGCGUCUUUCAAACAAAGCCACGUGAAGUCAAGGCCCUUAACACCCACCCCUCCCACAUACUGAGGGGAGAAUUCAGAUGCCCACUGGAGUCAGCCGAUCAGACUGCCUUUUGCACACUCCUUGCCUCCACUCCAGUUUACCGUGGAAGACCUGUCUGCUAUGGCUGAAUCUGAGAGAGAUCCUUGAGUAACGAAUUAAGGAAUGAACAAAUGUUGCUCUGGACAAAGCUGCAGCUUCCACGUCCUGCAUAACUGCACUCAGUACUGACCCUGAAGAUAGGAAAAGCAAUACAACUGGUGCUAGAAAUGUUAUGAGAAUGACUUGGAUGAGCUGAAAAAUGAAUGAUCUCCUUGAACAAGCUCCUUGGAAACCACAGGGUUGUCAUGGUAGCUGUUAUCAAGGAGAAGGGAGUGAGAAGAUGCUGACAACACCCUGUUUCUCUUCCCUAACGAGGUGUAAGGCCAGAUGCCCCCUUCGUCUACACAGAUUCUACGCUCCCUUAUGCUGCUUGCCUGGAAUUUCGCUUUGCUGCAGAGACAUCUGGAAAUGUGGAUUGAGGGUGGAAAUAAAAUGAAGAUGUCCUG
Molecule: long non-coding RNA, 1017 nt
Filed under: Homo sapiens (human)
Lineage: Eukaryota; Metazoa; Chordata; Mammalia; Primates; Hominidae
Description: novel transcript
Source: RNAcentral